AAGUCGAGCGGCAGCACGGGGAGCUUGCUCCCUGGUGGCGAGCGGCGGACGGGUGAGUAAUGCAUAGGAAUCUGCCCGGUAGUGGGGGAUAACGUGGGGAAACCCACGCUAAUACCGCAUACGUCCUACGGGAGAAAGCGGAGGAUCUUCGGACUUCGCGCUAUCGGAUGAGCCUAUGUCGGAUUAGCUAGUUGGUAAGGUAACGGCUUACCAAGGCGACGAUCCGUAGCUGGUCUGAGAGGAUGAUCAGCCACACUGGGACUGAGACACGGCCCAGACUCCUACGGGAGGCAGCAGUGGGGAAUAUUGGACAAUGGGCGAAAGCCUGAUCCAGCCAUGCCGCGUGUGUGAAGAAGGCUUUCGGGUUGUAAAGCACUUUCAGCGAGGAAGAAAGCCUCUGGGUUAAUACCCCAGAGGAAGGACAUCACUCGCAGAAGAAGCACCGGCUAACUCCGUGCCAGCAGCCGCGGUAAUACGGAGGGUGCGAGCGUUAAUCGGAAUUACUGGGCGUAAAGCGCGCGUAGGUGGCUUGGCACGCCGGUUGUGAAAGCCCCGGGCUCAACCUGGGAACGGCAUCCGGAACGGCCAGGCUAGAGUGCAGGAGAGGAAGGUAGAAUUCCCGGUGUAGCGGUGAAAUGCGUAGAGAUCGGGAGGAAUACCAGUGGCGAAGGCGGCCUUCUGGCCUGACACUGACACUGAGGUGCGAAAGCGUGGGUAGCAAACAGGAUUAGAUACCCUGGUAGUCCACGCCGUAAACGAUGUCGACUAGCCGUUGGGACCUUUAAGGACUUAGUGGCGCAGUUAACGCGAUAAGUCGACCGCCUGGGGAGUACGGCCGCAAGGUUAAAACUCAAAUGAAUUGACGGGGGCCCGCACAAGCGGUGGAGCAUGUGGUUUAAUUCGAUGCAACGCGAAGAACCUUACCUACCCUUGACAUCCAGAGGACUUUCCAGAGAUGGAUUGGUGCCUUCGGGAACUCUGAGACAGGUGCUGCAUGGCUGUCGUCAGCUCGUGUUGUGAAAUGUUGGGUUAAGUCCCGUAACGAGCGCAACCCUUGUCCUUAUUUGCCAGCGAUUCGGUCGGGAACUCUAAGGAGACUGCCGGUGACAAACCGGAGGAAGGUGGGGACGACGUCAAGUCAUCAUGGCCCUUACGGGUAGGGCUACACACGUGCUACAAUGGCCGGUACAAAGGG
This 1195-nucleotide ribosomal RNA is filed under the name Halomonadaceae bacterium RP30. RNAcentral describes it as "bacterial SSU rRNA". It matches the Rfam family "Bacterial small subunit ribosomal RNA", at positions 59 to 1246 of the family's 1533-position model. The record is from RNAcentral. Lineage: Bacteria; Pseudomonadati; Pseudomonadota; Gammaproteobacteria; Oceanospirillales; Halomonadaceae.